UAUACCCUGCAAUGUGCGUGAACAAGCCGAUAUGUUUUGAGCCAACACUAUUUUAAAGGGAACCUGACUCUAGAUGUAGCCUAUAUGCCUCCUGGACCGAGGACAUAGAAAGCAUUUAGGAAGGUACCCACCUGCCGGGGGCAGGUUCAAAACAUCGGCCACACGGCAUCUGUGGGGUUGUU
Molecule: non-coding RNA, 182 nt
Filed under: Candidatus Formimonas warabiya
Lineage: Bacteria; Bacillati; Bacillota; Clostridia; Eubacteriales; Peptococcaceae
Description: Peptococcaceae bacterium DCMF 6S RNA
Rfam family: 6S / SsrS RNA
About the family: E. coli 6S RNA was the first non coding RNA to be sequenced, but its function was unknown until recently.
Source: RNAcentral